Molecule: transfer RNA, 73 nt
Filed under: bacterium
Lineage: Bacteria
Description: tRNA-His
Rfam family: tRNA
About the family: Transfer RNA (tRNA) molecules are approximately 80 nucleotides in length.
Source: RNAcentral
GUGGGCGUCGCCAAGUGGUAAGGCAUUGGACUGUGACUCCUUCAUCGCGGGUUCGAUCCCCGUCGUUCACCCA